This 257-nucleotide ribosomal RNA is filed under the name uncultured bacterium. Its description in RNAcentral is "partial 16S ribosomal RNA". It matches the Rfam family "Bacterial small subunit ribosomal RNA", at positions 524 to 776 of the family's 1533-position model. The record is from RNAcentral.
UACGGAGGGGACUAGCGUUGUUCGGAAUUACUGGGCGUAAAGCGCACGUAGGCGGAUUUGUAAGUCAGGGGUGAAAUCCCGGGGCUCAACCUCGGAACUGCCUUUGAUACUGCAAAUCUCGAGUCCGGAAGAGGUGAGUGGAAUUCCUAGUGUAGAGGGUGAAAUUCGAUAGAUAUUAGGAAGAAACACCAGUGGCGAAGGCGGCUCACUGGUCCGGUACUGGACGCUGAGGCGCGAAAGCGUGGGGAGCAAACAGG